Molecule: long non-coding RNA, 290 nt
Filed under: Capsicum annuum
Lineage: Eukaryota; Viridiplantae; Streptophyta; Magnoliopsida; Solanales; Solanaceae
Description: long non-coding RNA (CANN_LNC005637)
Source: RNAcentral
GGGGGGGUAAAGUCAUAUGAUAGGAUUAGUCAAUCUUAAUCUUACACUAUAACCUAUUUUAAUCUUAUCUACAUAUUCUACUUUCUCACAUCAUACUUACUUACCCAAGCAUACAUUUACACUACCUUCAAAUUACACAUACAACCAUGAGUCUAUACUUAUAAUUUAUUGUCUAAUCUAAUAGUUUUCAUUCACAGUCUAUAAGGGAUUUCUGUAACCAUCAUAACUAUCCACUCUGGCUCUUUCCUACUUUCAAUAAAUAAAAAAAAUCAAGGACAAAUAAUUUCUCC